Molecule: ribosomal RNA, 424 nt
Filed under: uncultured prokaryote
Description: bacterial SSU rRNA
Rfam family: Bacterial small subunit ribosomal RNA
Source: RNAcentral
UGGGGAAUCUUAGACAAUGGGGGAAACCCUGAUCUAGCCAUGCCGCGUGAGUGACGAAGGCCCUAGGGUCGUAAAGCUCUUUCGCCAGGGAUGAUAAUGACAGUACCUGGUAAAGAAACCCCGGCUAACUCCGUGCCAGCAGCCGCGGUAAUACGGAGGGGGUUAGCGUUGUUCGGAAUUACUGGGCGUAAAGCGUACGUAGGCGGACUAUUAAGUCAGAGGUGAAAUCCCGGGGCUCAACCCCGGAACUGCCUUUGAUACUGGUAGUCUUGAGUUCGAGAGAGGUGAGUGGAAUUCCGAGUGUAGAGGUGAAAUUCGUAGAUAUUCGGAGGAACACCAGUGGCGAAGGCGGCUCACUGGCUCGAUACUGACGCUGAGGUACGAAAGUGUGGGGAGCAAACAGGAUUAGAUACCCCCGUAGUCC